This 373-nucleotide ribosomal RNA is filed under the name uncultured organism. RNAcentral's name for it is "partial 16S ribosomal RNA". It matches the Rfam family "Bacterial small subunit ribosomal RNA", at positions 527 to 896 of the family's 1533-position model. The record is from RNAcentral.
GUAGGUGGCAAGCGUUGUUCGGAAUUAUUGGGCGUAAAGCGCGCGCAGGCGGGUUCUUUAAGUCUGAUGUGAAAGCCCACGGGCUCAACCGUGGAGGGUCAUUGGAAACUGGAGAACUUGAGUACAGAAGAGGAAAGCGGAAUUCCACGUGUAGCGGUGAAAUGCGUAGAGAUGUGGAGGAACACCAGUGGCGAAGGCGGCUUUCUGGUCUGUAACUGACGCUGAGGCGCGAAAGCGUGGGGGGCAAACAGGAUUAGAUACCCUGGUAGUCCACGCCGUAAACGAUGAGUGCUAAGUGUUAGGGGGUUUCCGCCCCUUAGUGCUGCAGCUAACGCAUUAAGCACUCCGCCUGGGGAGUACGGCCGCAAGGCUG